AGAGUUUGAUCAUGGCUCAGAACGAACGCUGGCGGCGUGCCUAACACAUGCAAGUCGAGCGCGAAAGGGGGGGCAACUCCCCGAGUAGAGCGGCGCACGGGUGAGUAACGCGUGGGUAACCUACCUCCGGGCGGGGGAUAACCACUCGAAAGGGUGGCUAAUACCGCAUGAGACCACGGGGUCCUCGGAUCCUGGGGUUAAAGGCGGCACCGGCUUGCCGGUGCUGUCGCCUGAUGAUGGGCCCGCGUACGAUUAGCUAGUUGGUAGGGUAAUGGCCUACCAAGGCUGCGAUCGUUAGCUGGUCUGAGAGGAUGACCAGCCACACUGGAACUGGAACACGGUCCAGACUCCUACGGGAGGCAGCAGUGAGGAAUAUUGCGCAAUGGGGGAAACCCUGACGCAGCAACGCCGCGUGGGUGAAGAAGGCCUUCGGGUCGUAAAGCCCUUUCGGACGGGACGAAGCUCCGCGGGGAUAAUCCGCGGAGUCUGACGGUACCGUAGGAAGAAGCACCGGCUAACUCCGUGCCAGCAGCCGCGGUAAUACGGAGGGUGCAAGCGUUGUUCGGAAUUACUGGGCGUAAAGCGCGUGUAGGCGGCCAGGUAAGUCAGAUGUGAAAGCCCUCGGCUUAACCGGGGAAGUGCAUCUGAAACUGCCUGGCUUGAGUACGGGAGAGGGAGGCGGAAUUCCCAGUGUAGAGGUGAAAUUCGUAGAUAUUGGGAGGAACACCGGUGGCGAAAGCGGCCUCCUGGACCGAUACUGACGCUGAGACGCGAAAGCGUGGGGAGCAAACAGGAUUAGAUACCCUAGUAGUCC
This 814-nucleotide ribosomal RNA is filed under the name uncultured bacterium. RNAcentral describes it as "bacterial SSU rRNA". It matches the Rfam family "Bacterial small subunit ribosomal RNA", at positions 8 to 796 of the family's 1533-position model. The record is from RNAcentral.